Molecule: ribosomal RNA, 1050 nt
Filed under: Weissella cibaria
Lineage: Bacteria; Bacillati; Bacillota; Bacilli; Lactobacillales; Lactobacillaceae
Description: bacterial SSU rRNA
Rfam family: Bacterial small subunit ribosomal RNA
Source: RNAcentral
AUUUGAAGAGCUUGCUCAGAUAUGACGAUGGACAUUGCAAAGAGUGGCGAACGGGUGAGUAACACGUGGGAAACCUACCUCUUAGCAGGGGAUAACAUUUGGAAACAGAUGCUAAUACCGUAUAACAAUAGCAACCGCAUGGUUGCUACUUAAAAGAUGGUUCUGCUAUCACUAAGAGAUGGUCCCGCGGUGCAUUAGUUAGUUGGUGAGGUAAUGGCUCACCAAGACGAUGAUGCAUAGCCGAGUUGAGAGACUGAUCGGCCACAAUGGGACUGAGACACGGCCCAUACUCCUACGGGAGGCAGCAGUAGGGAAUCUUCCACAAUGGGCGAAAGCCUGAUGGAGCAACGCCGCGUGUGUGAUGAAGGGUUUCGGCUCGUAAAACACUGUUGUAAGAGAAGAAUGACAUUGAGAGUAACUGUUCAAUGUGUGACGGUAUCUUACCAGAAAGGAACGGCUAAAUACGUGCCAGCAGCCGCGGUAAUACGUAUGUUCCAAGCGUUAUCCGGAUUUAUUGGGCGUAAAGCGAGCGCAGACGGUUAUUUAAGUCUGAAGUGAAAGCCCUCAGCUCAACUGAGGAAUUGCUUUGGAAACUGGAUGACUUGAGUGCAGUAGAGGAAAGUGGAACUCCAUGUGUAGCGGUGAAAUGCGUAGAUAUAUGGAAGAACACCAGUGGCGAAGGCGGCUUUCUGGACUGUAACUGACGUUGAGGCUCGAAAGUGUGGGUAGCAAACAGGAUUAGAUACCCUGGUAGUCCACACCGUAAACGAUGAGUGCUAGGUGUUUUGAAGGGUUUCCGCCCCUUAAGUGCCGCAGCUAACGCAUUAAGCACUCCGCCCGGGGGAGUACGACCGCAAGGUUGAAACUCAAAGGAAUUGACGGGGACCCGCACAAGCGGUGGAACCAUGGGGGUUUAAUUCGAAGCAACGCGAAGAACCUUACCAGGUCUUGACAUCCCUUGACAACUCCCGAAAAUGGAGCGUUCCCUUCGGGGACAAGGUGACAAGUGGUGGCAUGGGUUGUCGUCCACCUCCUGUCCUGGGAAAGUUU